GGAUUUGAGGCUGAUCUGGCCAUUUGAUUACUAGGUUGCAACAUCUGUCACCCCAUUUGAUUACUAGGUUGAUUCAGUUAGGCGGGUGUCCCCUUCGUCCCUCACCACUCCAUGUGCAUUCCUCCUGAAGCUGUGCGCUAGGCUGAAGACGUGACCAGUCCCUGGUCAGGGUGUUUUUCAGUCAAGAUGUGGCAGUGGCUGCACUCCCCUGUUAGACCUGCCACACAAGCUCUCAAGGUCCAUUUGUAGGAGAACAUAGGGUGGUCAAACUUCCAAGACUCCAGACACAUCCAAAUGAGAUGGCAGUCUGCAUUUUUUUU
Myotis davidii is the source of this 320-nucleotide non-coding RNA. The record is from Rfam. Lineage: Eukaryota; Metazoa; Chordata; Mammalia; Chiroptera; Vespertilionidae.